ACACGACAUGCGUACGAAACCGAAGUAAACGACGCUGUCGAUACAAAGUCCGGCGGCCCACGAACCCUUCAGCUAAACGAGUUCGCAGUAAUCCUAACAGACCGCGAGACAAAGGAGCGACGCGGACCGAGUUCAGCUCACCUGGACGGGAAUUUCGCCGCCGCCGAACCCCGCCGGAUCGCACUUCGGGUCGCAACGCCGCCCUCCGGGGGCGAGGAGGAGGAGGUUGUUGCUUCGUGGUCGGCCACCGCGGUGGAUGCGUUGUGCCGCUUCGCAGCAGGUACGGCGCGAGGGCAGAGAAAUGAAGUCGGUGGUAGAGAAGUGGCGACCCAAGGGGGGGUUUUGUUAGGGUUUGGAGAUUCAUCUGGUUUAAGGCUGGAGAGAGUUUGUGGGCUGAUUCGAAGUUGGGCCUCUCUGUCUAACCCGGCUCAUUAAGAAGGAUUUCCCACAUUCUUUCUUCAAGUUCGGCCCUAUUUCCUCAGAAAAAUAUAUUGUAUUAUAUAAAUGACUAAAUCUACCUAAUUUUUAUUUAUAAUAUUGUCCUUGAUCACUCCAUUGCAAUUUAAAGUGGUAAUUCCAAAUUUAUUUAAUUUCUUUUUUUCUUUCUUUUAUAUUUUUUUGGAUCUAAUUAUCGUAAUUAAGUAUUUCGCAAGUUUUGUUUUGUUUUUUUCUGGGUCUCCCUUGUAUCUUAGAAGCAUUAUGUUUUUCUUUAUUAUUUUCACUUCCGUUGAGAUAAUUUUGAUUGGAAAAAGAAAUUUCCGAUAAACCUAAAAUAUAUGGAUUUAUUUUAAGGUAAAAUCUUGGAAAUCUUUUAACAUAAAUUUAAUUGUUUUUAAUACAUUCACAUCUUCGUUAACUUUUACUUUCGUCAUUCAAAUCAUCAUUAGACCCUUUCUUAUCUUAAAUUUUUUUAUAAAAGCUUUACGAAUGAUGUUAAUUUUUGUUGAUCCAAAUUAAUGACAUUUCAUUGGCAUUAAAAAACUCUUAUUUUAUGUUUUUUUUUGUUUUAAUUAAAUAUCAUCUUUUAAAGUGAGAAUGUAACUUGCGAUUUUAAUUUGGAAAACCUUUAAAGAGGAUUUUUUUAUUUAUUUCAUUCGAUUUUCCUAUUAAAUAUUUAUGUAUACAAAGACAAUUGAUAAAAAAAAAUAUAUGGUCUGAUGGUGAUACGCAUAGCACAAUUGAAAGUUUAUAAAUAAGUAAUUGUGUUGAACAAGUGUCUAUGCUAAUUUUUUCUAGCUUUUGUUUGACAAUUAAUUCGUGGAUUUGUUCAACGACAUAAAAAAUAAUCAUGUUUCGUUGGAAUUUCUCUUUUCAACAAACUAAUUUUCAAAGACAUAAAAUCAAAUAAUAAAAAGAAACCGCAGUGCCCUUAAUACAUUGGAUUUCACUUAUAAAUAAUAACAAAGCGAGUGAUAUUAUUAAUUACGGCAACAAAAUCCUUCGUAGAAACAGAAUAACUAAUUAAAGAAGGAAAGUAAAUAAGUUUGAGGCCACUUCUUUCAAUUGAAUGUGAAUUAUGAAAGGCAAUUCUAUCUUUUUGAUGAAAAUUAGAGUCAUAUAGGAGUGUAAAACAGGGUGCUCUUUUUCUAAUAUUUGCAAAAAGUGUAUGUUUGGAAUAACACCAAUCAAACAUAAUUAAAAAGGAGUUGGGGAGUAUAAUGGGAUUUAAUGGCAGAACCUCGUAUUCUUACAUCCACGAAGGGAAGAAAGUAAUGGCAACCCUCCCAGUUAUUGCAUCCGCAGAAACGAAGGGCAUUCAAUACCUUUCUUCAGCCAUCUGAAUCGGAACGUUGCCUAUAAUGGCGGGCUAAGAAAUUAGAUGAAGAGUAGAAAAUAAAAUCACAUCUAUUCAUAGAAAAAAUCUUGAUAUAGAACAAGUCCCAACAAAUUGACGAGUCUAUCGAGUCAUGUUUUCAUGGGCAUUGUCCAAUGAAUCGACCCUAAACGCUGAAGGUCACCCUAAGAAAAAAAAGAUUUUGAGCUCGCCAAGUGACGUUGAUUCAAUCCUCGUACCCCAAAUCAUGUUUUACUUAAAGAAAUUAUGGCUUUACUUAAAUUAGUAGAAGGAGGAUAUUAUUUAUUAACCACAACAAAAGCUAAUCCACAUCAAACCUGGUAGACACCUUAUCUAUGAAUAAUCAAAUAAUUUAAUUCUCAUCAUGAUAAGUGUGCGAGUGACUAAAGUUAAUAUAUAUAUAUGUAUAUAUGUAUAUAAUAAAUACGCAGAAGAAAUAUCCUAGGAAGUCCGAAAUGUCUCUUUCGAAAUGUCUCUUUCGCGGUUCGAAAUGUCAAUGGACCACCGAAAGAAAAUGGAAAGGGGUCCAGUCACCUGUCAAUUGACUUUACUUAAAAAAUGGACAAUCAAAAGGUACCACUUUCUUUUAAUGGGGCCACGGUGCAAUAAAGAUCGCAAGAUUUUUUUUGUUUCUUUUGUAUUUUACUUUUAUCUGGAGUAGUGCGUCGUGAUCAUGAAGCGCCCCGCAUGAUGGAUUUAAAAAAGAAAAUAAUGCACGCAUUUAAUAAUAAUAAUAAUAAAUCAGGAGGACUCAUUGGCCUCCCUCCAUUUCGGAGAAGUUUCUCAAGAAUGUGAUUCUUAAAGCGACAUAGCUUUUGCUUUCCAGUGUCUUUUCUUUUUUUUUUCUUUUUUUUUUAAAUAAGAGAGAAUUCAAAAGAAUAUGUGAUAAGUACAUGAAUUUAUUGCAAGAAAAAAAAGUGCAUAAGUUUCACUACAAAACAAAUCAAAAUAGAGUAAAUUUCAUAAUACUGCGAUAUAAAGCUAAAUCCAAAAAAUAAAGAGGAACAACUAAGCACCAAUAGAGUUAAAUACACACUUUUUUCCGGGAUUUGUUAAGCAAAAAAACGACCACCAGAGUUCAAAUCUUCCUUAUUGAUGAGCAUUGAGCACACUUUAUAAAUUCGUUUUCCAAUAACUAAAGCAUUGCUAGUUAGUUACACGUGCUCAUAUUUAGCUUUUUCUACACCGUUCCCAUACUAAGUCUAUCAACAAGUUAAAUAUCUAGAAAAGCAAAUCUUUGUGAUUUAGCAAGACGUCACGGUAGAGGAUUUGUAUUGAAUCCUCAAAAGCAUAUUUGUUAAAUUCUAAAAUCUAUAUCGAGAAAUGAUAGUUCUCAUAUCUGAUUAUGAGCCGAAAAAAGAAGAAGAAAAGAACGAUAAAAUACAAGUAAAAUCAACAAAAAGGAGGAGGUGAGGGUGGCUGAAGGUCGAAGAAGACGAGAAAAACUUGUCGACUCCUUGUGACAAUUGGGUCUAAAGUGUUUGACUCGCUCCCAAUGCCUAUAGUGUCUUUCAAAAAGCAGGAAUCCUUGUUUGAUUUCAUUCUUUAUUGUUGUAGUUGCUUUAAAAAGCCCCAGUUCUCGAGUAGAACCAAGAAGCUCCGUUCCCCGUUUCGAUCUUUCUGAAUCAUGCUUUAGGGGGUUCGAUCACCCUAAUGGAUGCUUUCACUUUAUUGGAAUAGUGCUAGUUAAGAGAAAAGUGACUUGGCUUUUGCCUUCUCGUCGCCCCAAACCUAAAACCCGAUAUUGAAUUUGUGUAAUUCGUCCUCUUGGGUUAAAGAGAGAGAGAGAGAGAGAGAGAGGUUAACUCCACGAAUUUUAAACAUCAAUCUUGAUGGACACAAAGCACCUUGUCAAAGGUUUUUUAAAUCAUCCGUAAGAAAAGAAAGGCGACGUCAAUUCUACCACACUUAGAGAAAUAAUGGGAUAAUUAUAAGGUGAGUCCUAAAAUCUGUCAACUUCCUAGUUCGUACAUUAAGUGCUCAAACCUUAAUUUCAUUGAUUUAAAUCCUAAAACUUACAAUCUCGAUGCACUGUGAGCAAUGAGCAUGUAUUCAAUUAGAUAAAAAGUUUAAAAAAAUUAUAACUUUAAUGCAAAAAAUGAAAAAUUUAGAAUUUAAAAACACAAAACUGACAAGUUUAAAGUUAAAUGUAAUUAUCCCAACAAACAAAUUACUAGCCGACCUUUUUGACUAUGGAUGUGAAUUGAAUUUGAUCCCACACUAAGAUAAAUUUUGCUUGUGUUUCUAGGUUAAUGCGUGCUAUAGAAGCUUUAAACAGAAUGACAAAUUGUAGGUAGGGACACCAACCAUAGAUAUGAAUAUUGAUAGAGAUCUCAGUGAUACUUUUGUAAAAGCAUCCAUAAGUAGAGUUGAUCAUAUUGCAAUUGAAUUGACCCUAUAUAGUCUGUUAAUUACAAAAAUAGCAUGAACAUGUGGGAUCUAGAUAGAUCUCAUCUUAAGAGAUCUUAUGUCCUCUCUAUACUAUAGUUUCGAUUUAGUCACCCGGUUGAUAAGAUCAAGAAGGUGCAUAUGAAGUUUCCUCUCGAAUAUGCAUGAUUGAUUCAUACUUUAUUUGCAAUUACAUGAUUAUAAAUAUGUUUUUCUUAGUAGCUAAUGAAGGAAGUACAGGAAUUACGCUUUUAAUAUUGGAUUGAAUUGAUUAUGCUGUCACUGCUUUAAUUGCGUACUGUCGGAUUUCAUCUCUAUCCAACGUCUAAUGAUGUCCGAUGGAAUUUUACAAGCUCGGGUGGAUUGUCCCAUAGAUGGAAUGAGGUUGACAUCGUUGUAUUGAUCCGAGUUAGAAAAAUUCGAUUUGGAUUAGGAGAUUUCGUCGAGUUCUGUUUCUGCUAGGGCGUUUCACGUUGCUCCAACCUGGAACUUUCCCUGAUGUUAACUGUGCAAAAACACAUAAAAAACGGGAAGAUGGAGAGGAAGUCAACUGUUGUCAACUUUCAGAGUUUCGAUGAUUAGACGUCGGGAAUUUGCCGUUUCUGCUUUAUCACCUCACCUAAUGAAAUAUGAAAUACCGACCAAAAAAAAAAAAAUGAUAUAACUGUAUAGGAUGUAGUGAAACGAAUCUGAUGUCCAAGUGCUUCUCGGAAUCUAAAAUUAGCAAGUUGAAUGAUGGCCAUGAGGUCGCAACCUUCAUCCUUUCUCACCAAGCAAAAGUGAACUUGAAUACGAUGAACAUUAACAGGAGCAAGAUAGAAAAGGAAAAAGAAAUAAAAGGGAAAUUUCUUUUUUUUUUUUGAGAAAUCAAGAGAAGAACGACGUUGUUUCAUCACGUCACAUUGUAUUUAUUAGUGGAGUGUUAUAUCAAAUAAAUCUACCGAGACUUUUGCAAGAGGACUCAUGGCAUUUUUUCUUAAAAGUUUAAGACUAUAUCUGUUCACUAAACAAGCUUGGGACUCGAUUGAUUUGUGUACAAUAAUUCCAGAAUAAUUGUGCAAUUUUCCCUUAACGAUGCUGGUUGAAAAACCCAAAAGAUAAAUAGACAAAUAAAUUAUCUUAAUUGGCAACAAUCAUAUUUCCAUCUUCAUCCAAAGUCCAAAGAUGUCCAAUGAAAUUCGACAAACUCAGGUCGAUUGACUUAUAGAUGGAAUGAGGCUGAAAUCUUUGUAUGCAUCCGAUUUAGAGAAAAAAUCGAUUUGGCUAAGAAGUUGUUUCAUCCAGUUCUGUUAUGUUUUAGGGCUUUUCUUGUUGCACCAACGUGGAACUUUCCUUUAUGUCAACUGUCCAACAAGACAUGUACUUUCAGAAAAUACUCGCGCCCGAAUAUUUUGUUUUUGGUAUGGAAAAGGAUUAGAGCCAAAUACAAAAAUCAACAUCAAGAAUCUACCAUCUCUCAAUGAAUUAGACUUCAGAGGUUGUAAUGAGGGGGUGCUGAAGAGUUUGGUAAGCCUAACAUCUCUAAUUGCUCUUGCUGUAGAAAUUAGAGAAUGCAAGGAAGUGGAGUUACCCGUGGAGUUAAAUCUAGACACUCUUCGGUCUCUUCAAGAGAUUAUAAUUUGCAAUCGUGAGGACUUGAGAAGCUUAUCCCAGGGUCCAAACACGCUGUCUCGGAUCACUUCUUUACAAUUGAUCAAUAUCCUGCUUUGGAUGUGGAGUGUUUCCCUCCUCUUCCUCGAGGCAUAUCCAAUUUUACUCUUCGGGGGUUGUUUGAAAAUAAAAUCGCUACCUAAUCAAUCACAUUGACUUAUAUGUCCCCGUGAUCUAAAUAUUACUAAUUGUGAGAGUACUACAUGCAUUCUUGAUGGAGGAUUGUCGUCCCAAUUACAGACAUUUAUGGUUCGUUUGGUAAUGCUUCUAUUUCAGGAAACAAUUUAUUUUCAAAACUAUUUCUAUUCCCGAAACAAUUUAUCAGUAAAAAAACAUGUUUGGUAAUCAUAUAAAAUUUAUAUUAUCGAAAUGGAAAAGUAAUAGGAAUGUGUUUGGUAUGAAUUACAAAUUCUUUUGUAAUGUAUAAUUUUUUAAAUUUUUUCUUCUUCUUCUUCCUUACCAUCGCCUCCACUCACCACUUAUGACCAUCGACAUUGUCACCUACCUCCAUUGACUGCCAAGGUCAACAGUCAAUCGGUGGCGGGUGGUGGAUGGCUGAUGGCAGGUGGCGGUUGACGGCGGUUGGCCGGCGGCGAUCGAUCAAUGGCAGAGGUUAGCUAGUCGGUGAGCGGCGGUGGCGAUGGGCUGCGGUUGGCCGAUGGCAGGCGGCAGAGGUGGCGACGGGCAAAGAAAAAGAAGAAAAAACUUGUUUUUAGAAAUUGUUCUCGAAAAUAAGAAAUUACUUUUUUAUACUUUUUAUUUUUGUUUCAAAUUUAUCGGUGAAUGGAAAAAUUAGUUGAUUUUACCGAACCGAUUUUGUUAUUUCAAAAGAAUAGAAAUUGGAAAAAAUAAAAACAUUACCAAAUGGAAUCUUAGUUUAUGGGAAUGUGGCAAUAUAAAACAGCCGGCGAGGAAGUGGCUUACCCCUUCUGGACAUUGACGGCAACGUCGGAGGAGCGGGGAAGGAGGAGGAGGA
This 6809-nucleotide long non-coding RNA is filed under the name Eucalyptus grandis. RNAcentral's name for it is "long non-coding RNA (EGRA_LNC003876)". Lineage: Eukaryota; Viridiplantae; Streptophyta; Magnoliopsida; Myrtales; Myrtaceae. The record is from RNAcentral.